CAUGCAUAUAUUUAAAUUUAUUUUUAUUUGGUUUAUUUAAAGAGCUAGAGUCAGCAACACCAUUCAUUUUUGUUUUGGGUUACGUAAUACUUACCAACGCCAGAGUUGGAAGUAUCCGUAGUCGAAUAUUCACUGACGCCAGAGUCAGGAAUAUUAUAAGCAAAUCAUCAUAGCAUAAACUAAUAAACGUUUAGCAAUUUAAGACAAAACCAACAAUGCAGUCUGCCUCAGGCAGAACGUUUAAGGGGUGAUAAUAUCUUCCCUUUUACGUAACCAAUCCCGUACCAUAGAAUCUUUGUUGACCAGUUAGGGUUCCUAGUGACC
This 324-nucleotide long non-coding RNA is filed under the name Populus trichocarpa (black cottonwood). RNAcentral's name for it is "long non-coding RNA (PTRI_LNC001265)". Lineage: Eukaryota; Viridiplantae; Streptophyta; Magnoliopsida; Malpighiales; Salicaceae. The record is from RNAcentral.